RNAcentral lists this ribosomal RNA (787 nucleotides) under uncultured euryarchaeote. Its description in RNAcentral is "bacterial SSU rRNA". It matches the Rfam family "Archaeal small subunit ribosomal RNA", at positions 85 to 879 of the family's 1478-position model. Lineage: Archaea; Methanobacteriati; Methanobacteriota. The record is from RNAcentral.
ACGGCUCAGUAACACGUAGCUAACCUACCCUUAGGUUGAGAAUACCCUCGGGAAACUGAGGUUAAUACUCGAUAGAAGAUUUGCCCUGGAAAGACUAAUCUUUGAAAGUUGCCUAAGGAUGGGGCUGCGGCGGAUUAGGUUGUUGGCGGGGUAAUAGCCCACCAAGCCGAAGAUCCGUAAGGGCUCUUAGCGGAGAGGCCCUGAGAGGGAAUCUGAGACACUAUUCCCAGCCCUACGGGGUGCAGCAGUUAGGAAUAAUCUACAAUGCGCGCAAGCGUGAUAGUUUGAGCCAGAGUGCUUUCCUAUUUGGAAAGCUUUUGCCAAAUGUAAAAAGUUUGGCGAAUAAGGACUGGGUAAGACGAGUGCCAGCCGCCGCGGUAAUACUCGCGGUCCAAGUCGCAGCCAUUUUUAUUGGGUCUAAAACAUCCGUAGCUUGCUUAGUAAGUUUCUUGUGAAAUUUUGUCUCUCAAAGAUAAAGCGUGCAAGAAGUACUGCUGAGCUAGAGACUGGAAGACGUAACGAGUACGUUCGGAGUAGCGGUAAAAUGUGUUAAUCCCGGACGGACUAACAAUAGCGAAGGCACGUUACGAGGACAGUUCUGACAGUAAGGGAUGAAAGCUAGGGGCGCAAAACGGAUUAGAUACCCGUGUAGUCCUAGCAGUAAACACUGCACACUAAACAUUAGUACCUCUUCGAGAGGUAUUAGUGCUGUAGGGAAGCCGAAGAGUGUGCUACCUGGGAAGUAUAGACGCAAGGCCGAAACUUAAAGGAAUUGGCGGGGGAGCAC